Molecule: long non-coding RNA, 481 nt
Filed under: Rattus norvegicus (Norway rat)
Lineage: Eukaryota; Metazoa; Chordata; Mammalia; Rodentia; Muridae
Description: long non-coding RNA NONRATT028577
Rfam family: tRNA (bases 256-328)
Source: RNAcentral
AGACUUUAUCUAAUUUCCUGCUUGAGGAAGGCAGGCAUGUCAGGAGGCAUCAUUUUCCCCUGGUUUUUCUUUUCUGAUGGGGAAACUGAGGCACAGCACGAGACAGAGGACGUACUUGAACACAGGAAGGUUAGUGGGCAUGGAGGGGAGGGAACAAGAGCGUCUGUGUGCUCUCUGUCAUUUCUUUUCCCAUUUUCUCAGCUGCGCAUGCCUUUACCCCAAUUUGGUAACCUUGAAAACAGUGCCCUUGGGGCUGGAGAGGUGGCUCAGAGGUUAAGAGCACUGGCUGCUCUUCCAGAGGUCCUGAGUUCAAUUCCCAGCAACUACAUGGUGGCUCUAAACCAUCCUAUAAUGAGAUAUGGUGACCUCUUCUGGCCUCGAGGCAUGCAUGCAGGCAGAACACUGUACGCACAAUAAAUCUUCAAGCAACACAAAACAAAAUGCCCCUGGCUAUCUGCUCACAAGACUGUGCCCCAGCUUU